RNAcentral lists this ribosomal RNA (254 nucleotides) under uncultured Alphaproteobacteria bacterium. Its description in RNAcentral is "partial 16S ribosomal RNA". It matches the Rfam family "Bacterial small subunit ribosomal RNA", at positions 67 to 338 of the family's 1533-position model. The record is from RNAcentral. Lineage: Bacteria; Pseudomonadati; Pseudomonadota; Alphaproteobacteria.
CGUGAAGCAGGAGCUUGCUCUGUGGAAAGUGGCAGACGGGUGAGUAACGCGUGGGAAUUUACCCAGUGGUUCGGAAUAACUUCAGGAAACCGGAGCUAAUACCGAAUACGCCCUUCGGGGGAAAGAUUUAUCGCCAUUGGAUGAGCCCGCGUCGGAUUAGCUUGUUGGUGAGGUAAAAGCUCACCAAGGCGACGAUCCGUAGCUGGUCUGAGAGGAUAAUCAGCCACACUGGGACUGAGACACGGCCCAGACUC